GCAGUGGUGGUUCAGUGGUAUAAUUUUCACCUUCCGUGUGGGAGACCUGGGCUCAAUUCCUGGCCAGUGCA
Molecule: transfer RNA, 71 nt
Filed under: Loxodonta africana (African savanna elephant)
Lineage: Eukaryota; Metazoa; Chordata; Mammalia; Proboscidea; Elephantidae
Rfam family: tRNA
About the family: Transfer RNA (tRNA) molecules are approximately 80 nucleotides in length. Their secondary structure includes four short double-helical elements and three loops (D, anti-codon, and T loops). Further hydrogen bonds mediate the characteristic L-shaped molecular structure. tRNAs have two regions of fundamental functional importance: the anti-codon, which is responsible for specific mRNA codon recognition, and the 3' end, to which the tRNAs corresponding amino acid is attached (by aminoacyl-tRNA synthetases). tRNAs cope with the degeneracy of the genetic code in two manners: having more than one tRNA (with a specific anti-codon) for a particular amino acid; and 'wobble' base-pairing, i.e. permitting non-standard base-pairing at the 3rd anti-codon position.
Source: Rfam by way of RNAcentral